AUGGCGCAGGGAUGGGCAGAGAGGAUGGCUAAGGGAUGGGCAGACGCUAGCCACCUGGAUGUCUUUUGCUGGGGAACGGCCUGGAUCAGCCCUCUCUUUUCACUCUGGGCGACAUGCAUCUCGUGGCGCCACCGCGCGCUGGGCGGGGGUGGCCGGCGCCCGGAACCCACCAUCGCCGCGCUCAUGGGCAGCCUCGCCUGGCUCGCGUACGGAUUGGAAGUCAUCGACGACACGGUCGAGCCGCUGUCUGUCAACGCCUGGGGCGCCACGUUCCAGGCGGUGUACCUCGUCACUUUCCUCUUCCUGUGCACUGGUGAGGAGCGACGCCGUGCUAUCAGGCCGAUGGUGACCGCUGGGAUCUACGUGGCCCUCUUGCUCACCAUCGGCGGCGUCGACUCCGGCAGCUUCAAGUUGCUCUGCAGCAUCGCGGGUUCGGUGUCCGCCGCCGCGCCGCUGUUCACCUACUGGUUCCUGGACCAAGCUACGCUUCCACCCUGGGGCAUGUCUGCCUUCUCCAUCGUACACUGCUUCGCGUGGUGUAUACGGGGCGUCACGAAGCCGGUACCACAGCAUGAGGACUUAUACAUGGCGACGCAGAAUGGGAUCGGCGCUUUCUGCUCCUUGGUACUAGUGUUCCUGGCCUGGUUUUUGCCCGGCGCCCUGGCACCGCCCAUGGAAGAGGACAUGGAUCUCCUUGCGGCACUCAUCAACCCAGACGUCGUGGAAGUGGAACACCCUCUGUUGCCCGGCGCCCUGGCACCGCCCGUGGAAGAGGACAUGGAUCUCCUUGCGGCACUCGUCAACCCAGACGUCGUGGAACUGGAACACCCUCUGUUGCCCGGCGCCCUGGCACCGCCCAUGGAAGAGGACAUGGAUCUCCUUGCGGCACUCGUCAACCCAGACGUCGUGGAAGUGGAACACCCUCUGUUCCCCGCUCCCCCACCGCCGCCGAGACGCAGGAGCACCGGCGCUGACGUCGACGCGCACCACGACCCACCGCCGCCGAGACGCAGGAGCACAUGA
RNAcentral lists this ribosomal RNA (1023 nucleotides) under Triticum aestivum (bread wheat). RNAcentral's name for it is "partial small subunit ribosomal RNA". The record is from RNAcentral. Lineage: Eukaryota; Viridiplantae; Streptophyta; Magnoliopsida; Poales; Poaceae.